Molecule: ribosomal RNA, 497 nt
Filed under: uncultured bacterium
Lineage: Bacteria
Description: partial 16S ribosomal RNA
Rfam family: Bacterial small subunit ribosomal RNA
Source: RNAcentral
GAUGAACGCUGGCGGCGUGCCUAAUACAUGCAAGUCGAGCGAACGGACGAGAAGCUUGCUUCUCUGAUGUUAGCGGCGGACGGGUGAGUAACACGUGGAUAACCUACCUAUAAGACUGGGAUAACUUCGGGAAACCGGAGCUAAUACCGGAUGAUAUUUUGAACCGCAUGGUUCAAAAGUGAAAGACGGUCUUGCUGUCACUUAUAGAUGGAUCCGCGCUGCAUUAGCUAGUUGGUAAGGUAACGGCUUACCAAGGCAACGAUGCAUAGCCGACCUGAGAGGGUGAUCGGCCACACUGGAAUUGAGACACGGUCCAGACUCCUACGGGAGGCAGCAGUAGGGAAUCUUCCGCAAUGGGCGAAAGCCUGACGGAGCAACGCCGCGUGAGUGAUGAAGGUCUUCGGAUCGUAAAACUCUGUUAUUAGGGAAGAACAUAUGUGUAAGUAACUGUGCACAUCUUGACGGUACCUAAUCAGAAAGCCACGGCUAACUACGUG